AGAGAUUUGAUUGUCUUGUAGUUCAAGUCUAUAGUUUUUAGGCUUUGGAGGAUUGCCUUAUGCAAAGGGCUUUGGGUUGGUUUUCCUUCAUUGUUAUGUUACCAUGUUGUUAGCCAUUUCUGUUUGGAGCAGCAACCUUUUGGACAAGUUGACGCUUUUCUCUCCAUUAAAAUAAUAAAGAUGUAGAAAACAUGAUAUUUACGAUGGAAGAUAUGAAGCAAGUUUGUUUGGAAAGGGAAUUGAUUCCUUAGAAUUCUAC
This 259-nucleotide long non-coding RNA is filed under the name Gossypium barbadense (sea-island cotton). Its description in RNAcentral is "long non-coding RNA (GBAR_LNC014710)". Lineage: Eukaryota; Viridiplantae; Streptophyta; Magnoliopsida; Malvales; Malvaceae. The record is from RNAcentral.